Oryza rufipogon (brownbeard rice) is the source of this 235-nucleotide microRNA precursor. It matches the Rfam family "MIR812 microRNA precursor family". Lineage: Eukaryota; Viridiplantae; Streptophyta; Magnoliopsida; Poales; Poaceae. The record is from Rfam.
AAAAAGGCAAACCCUGGAUUUCCGUGUCUAACUUUGAUUGUCCGUCUUAUAUGAAUUUUUUUUAUAAUUCGUAUUUUUAUUGUUGUUUUUUUAUUAAUUCGUAUUUUUAUUGUUGUUAGAUGAUAAAACAUGAUUAAUAUUUUAUGCAUGACUUGUCUUUUUAAUUUUUUUCAUAACUUUUUCAAAUAAAACAGACGGUCAAACGUUGGGCACAGAAACCAGGGUUUGUCUUUUU